GAGUUCCAUGACGCAGCCUGACGCAGCAUGCCGCGUGAAUGAGAAGGCCUUCGGGUUGUAAAGUUCUUUCGUGGGAGACGAAAAGGUGAUCGCUAAUACCGGUUGCUGUUGACGUGAACCCAAGAAGAAGCACCGGCUAACUCCGUGCCAGCAGCCGCGGUAAUAA
Molecule: ribosomal RNA, 166 nt
Filed under: uncultured bacterium
Lineage: Bacteria
Description: partial 16S ribosomal RNA
Rfam family: Bacterial small subunit ribosomal RNA
Source: RNAcentral